ACGUAGGGUGCGAGCGUUAAUCGGAAUUACUGGGCGUAAAGCGUGCGCAGGCGGCUCGUUAAGACAGUUGUGAAAGCCCCGGGCUUAACCUGGGAACUGCAAUUGUGACUGGCGAGCUAGAGUGUGGCAGAGGGGGGUGGAAUUCCACGUGUAGCAGUGAAAUGCGUAGAGAUGUGGAGGAACACCGAUGGCGAAGGCAGCCCCCUGGGCUAACACUGACGCUCAUGCACGAAAGCGUGGGGAGCAAACAG
RNAcentral lists this ribosomal RNA (251 nucleotides) under uncultured prokaryote. RNAcentral's name for it is "partial 16S rRNA". It matches the Rfam family "Bacterial small subunit ribosomal RNA", at positions 525 to 775 of the family's 1533-position model. The record is from RNAcentral.